GACGAACGCUGGCGGCGUGCUUAACACUUGCAAGUCGAACGGAAAGGCGCUGCUAUUGUGGUGUGCUCGAGUGACGAACGGAGGAGUAACACGUGAGUAACCUGCCCUUGACUAUGGGAUAACUUCAGGAAAAUAGGGCUAAUAACGCGUAGGAGCUCCUGCUGCAUAGUGGGGGAUGGAAAGUUUCGGCGGUUGGGGAUGGACUGGCCGCGUAUCGGCUUGUUGGUGGGGUAGUGGCUUACCAGGGCUUGGACGGGUAGCGUGGCUGGGAGGAUAGGCUGCCAGAUUAGGAUGGAGAUACGGCCCAGACUCCUACGGGAGGCAGCGGAGGGGAGUAGUACACAGUGGGCGGAAGCCUGCUGCAGCAACGCCGCGUGCGGUAAGACGGCCUUCGGGUUGUAAACCGCUUUCGUCUGUGAUGAAGCGUUAGUGACGGUAAUGGGUAAAGAAGCACCGGCUAACUACGUG
RNAcentral lists this ribosomal RNA (468 nucleotides) under uncultured bacterium. Its description in RNAcentral is "partial 16S ribosomal RNA". It matches the Rfam family "Bacterial small subunit ribosomal RNA", at positions 28 to 507 of the family's 1533-position model. The record is from RNAcentral.